AUUGAACGCUGGCGGCAGGCCUAACACAUGCAAGUCGAGCGAGCGGCGGACGGGUGAGUAAUGUCUGGGAAACUGCCUGAUGGAGGGGGAUAACUACUGGAAACGGUUGCUAAUACCGCAUACCAUCAGAUGUGCCCAGAUGGGAUUAGCUAGUAGGUGGGGUAACGGCUCACCUAGGCGACGAUCCCUAGCUGGUCUGGGAGAAUGACCAGCCACGCUGGAGCUGAGGCACGGUCCAGACACCUACGGGAGGCAGCAGUGGGGAAUAUUGCACGAUGGGCGCAAGCCUGAUGCAGCCAUGCCGCGUGUGUGAAGAAGGCAUUCGGGUUGUAAAGCACUUUCAGCGGGGAGGCGUUACCCGCAGAAGAAGCACCGGCUAACUCCGUGCCAGCAGCCGCGGUAAUAC
This 406-nucleotide ribosomal RNA is filed under the name uncultured bacterium. RNAcentral describes it as "partial 16S ribosomal RNA". It matches the Rfam family "Bacterial small subunit ribosomal RNA", at positions 30 to 526 of the family's 1533-position model. The record is from RNAcentral.